UCAGGUUUAUCUUAAAGUUAAGAAGCUUUAUUUACAUUAAAGUAAAGUCGUGCAAUUCGAAGAAAUCUGAA
This 71-nucleotide transfer RNA is filed under the name Carrikerella sp. RNAcentral describes it as "tRNA-Val". Lineage: Eukaryota; Metazoa; Arthropoda; Insecta; Mantodea; Thespidae. The record is from RNAcentral.